UAUUAAAAAGUUUCAUCAAUUUGUAUUGUUAAAAAUUGACAUGGUUAUCGAAAUAACCAAAUAGUUACACAUGUCAUCCCACAUAUACCUUAUGUUGAUGUACAAUGACCAAUUUUUAAUAAUAGAAACGAAUUAAAUUUUUAACA
This is a non-coding RNA of Gossypium hirsutum (cotton), 146 nucleotides long. NCBI's taxonomy places the organism in Eukaryota, Viridiplantae, Streptophyta, Magnoliopsida, Malvales, Malvaceae. The record is from Rfam.